ACAACCAUAGAUAUUUUUCUUCUAAUUUGGCUCCCGUUCCUCCAACAGGGAGCAAGACCUGCCAGCAGAGAUUAACCACAUGCAGGGGACGCUGAACACCUUGCAGGGGCAGUGUAUUGAGUUGCAGACUGCCAUAUCUAAGGUAGUGUCAGAUGAGUCUCAGAUACAGAAGAAUAAGUCUAUGAUGUUAUGGUGAUAAUGAUUGAGAUGGUGAUUAUAAUAAUGAUGACUAACGGUACCCCACCCUGCGGGCGGUAAAUCAUUGGAUCUGAUUAAUUCAAUUCAAUGCAAUUCAAUCUUAGAGGACUGCAACCAUAGAAAUACAAUGUAUUUACACUAAUAAUAAGCUAUUGUCAACUUCCCGUCUAUGGUUAUCUUGCUCAUUGCUCACUGUCAAUUGCUGAUUGUUACCCUGUGUGUGCAACUAUUAUUGAUUUCUCACAGAAAAAUUAUUUGUUUGCAAAUGUACCUGGGGCCAUGUAAAUAAUUGUUAGGCUACUCAUUUUGAAUCCACCGGUGGCAACUUGUGUGACCAUAAAAGUCUGUGUGCGACUGGGCACAGUAAAAUAAUUUGGUUACUGACCUGCCCUACAUCAUAGAAGGCCCUUCAAGUCGGAACUAGGAAAUUCUGACAUUUCUGACUCGCUAACUCGUUAUGGAAUGAUGAUUUCAAGUUUCCCACUUGUGAAGUAUGAGAAUCAACCAGUAGGAAGCUCUACACUAAUAUUUUACAUUCAUUUCAAAUCUGAGGUUCCAAGUUUCCGAUGGCAUGUGAAUUUUUCAAUAGUUGCCAUGGUAAUUUUGAAUGUUCAGUCAGUGGUAAAGCAACACUCACAGUGUGAUGGAGAGAGGUAA
RNAcentral lists this long non-coding RNA (855 nucleotides) under Salmo trutta (river trout). RNAcentral describes it as "lncRNA (ENSSTUG00000003202.1)". Lineage: Eukaryota; Metazoa; Chordata; Actinopteri; Salmoniformes; Salmonidae. The record is from RNAcentral.